RNAcentral lists this ribosomal RNA (484 nucleotides) under uncultured bacterium. RNAcentral describes it as "partial 16S ribosomal RNA". It matches the Rfam family "Bacterial small subunit ribosomal RNA", at positions 29 to 523 of the family's 1533-position model. The record is from RNAcentral.
AGUGAACGCUGGCGGCGUGCUUAACACAUGCAAGUCGAACGAGAACGGGUUAUAGCUUGCUAUAAUUGUCAGCUAAGUGGCGCACGGGUGAGUAAUGUAUAGGUAAUAUGCCUCUUACUAAGGGAUAACAAAUGGAAACGUUUGCUAAUACCUUAUACUCCUUAUUAACAGAAGUUAAUAAGGGAAAGAUUUAUUGGUAAGAGAUUAGCCUGUAUUGUAUCAGUUAGUUGGUGAGGUAAUGGCUUACCAAGACUAUGACACAUAACUGGUUUGAGAGGCUGAUCAGUCACACUGGAACUGAGACACGGUCCAGACUCCUACGGGAGGCAGCAGUGGGGAAUAUUGCACAAUGGACGAAAGUCUGAUGCAGCAACGCCGCGUGGAGGAUGACACACUUCGGUGCGUAAACUCCUUUUAUAUGAGAAGAUAAUGACGGUAUUAUAUGAAUAAGCACCGGCUAACUCCGUGCCAGCCGCCGCGGUAA